GGGGUUGUGCCUCAGUGGUAGAGCACUUGCUUAGCAUGCAGGAGACACUGGGUUCAAUCCUCAACACCA
This 69-nucleotide transfer RNA is filed under the name Ictidomys tridecemlineatus (thirteen-lined ground squirrel). RNAcentral describes it as "Spermophilus tridecemlineatus (thirteen-lined ground squirrel) tRNA". It matches the Rfam family "tRNA". Rfam says of the family: Transfer RNA (tRNA) molecules are approximately 80 nucleotides in length. Their secondary structure includes four short double-helical elements and three loops (D, anti-codon, and T loops). Lineage: Eukaryota; Metazoa; Chordata; Mammalia; Rodentia; Sciuridae. The record is from Rfam by way of RNAcentral.